GGUUUAUGGCUCAUUGGUAGAGCACUUGCCUAGCAUGUGUGAGGCACUAGGUUCAAUUCUUAGCACCA
This 68-nucleotide transfer RNA is filed under the name Marmota monax (woodchuck). RNAcentral describes it as "tRNA.Ala". The record is from RNAcentral. Lineage: Eukaryota; Metazoa; Chordata; Mammalia; Rodentia; Sciuridae.